GGGUCAAAUCAGAGCUGCAGCUGUGGACUACACCACAGGCACAGCAACACCAGAUCCAAGCCACAUCUGUGACUUAUGCUGCAGCCUCUGGCAAUGUCAGAUCCUUAACCCACUGAGUGACGCCAGGGAUCAAAUGCACAUCCUCACGGACACUAUGUCAGGUUCUUAACCUGCUGAGCCACAACGGGAACUCCAAAUCUUUUCUUCUAAUGCACACCUUGUUUUUACUUCAGGGAAGCAUUUCACAGCCAUUGGAAAAAGUGACUAUCUGGACGGAGAUUGAGUAAAUGAUAGAGACUUAAAAUACAUGUUGAUACUUAUAUUUAUUGAUUACACAUAUCUGGUAUUUUCACUGUACUUCCUUCCUUAUGAAAAACAUUUGAUCUGAUACGCCUUUCAUGUACUGGAUAUUUAUGGGCAUUGUUAAUUCUUACCUUCAUCAUAUACAACGUAUAAUGCACAACCGUCAUUUACAAACAAAAAUAAGGCUUUCAUAAGUGUAUUAACCUGUCCAAGUAGCAUGCCUCAGAAGGAAUUUGGAAUUUAAAUACAAAUCUGUCUACCAUGCAUAUACCGUUCUUUAUGGUUUAUUUAAUCUCCAUAAGGAAUAAAAUGCUUAUCCAUCGGAGGAAAUAGAGGAAUCUAAAAUGAUUCCAGAUAAGAAUUAGACAAACUGUAGGCAGAAAUGAAAGGAAAACAAGUAAGAUCAGAAACUGGUUAUUUGCAGUAUUUGGAAAAGCCACAUGCUUUUGAAACUAAACAGCAGGAGAUGUAGCCCUUAGCCAGCCACUGGGCCAAAUACAUGCAAAUAACCACACGUUCCCCGUCAUGAGAGGGAGAGACAUGCUUAACCAGACCUAAGAACUAAUUCCCUAAGAGAACCUGGUUUUGGCUCCUGGUUUACGGAACUGAUGGGGCAGCGAAGGAUCCAAAGCCUACCCACCCCCUGAGGUCAGGUCAGCAUCUCCGGGCAGAACCUCAACACCUUCCAAGUUGCGCCAUGUAAGAAACUAAACUAACAAAGCCCCAACUGAACAUGCCUCUGGUUUUUCAAGUCUUCAACCAUGUCCUCUCAGACUUGCUAGGCUGUUAGUUUUCUGCAUCCGUCUGUCAUGACAAAUUGCCACAAACAGGGAGGUUAGAAAAAACAGAAAUCCAUCUUCACAGACCUUGCGGCCAGAAGUCCAAAUUUACAGCAUGGGCAGGACACGCUUCCUCCGAAGGCUCCAGAAGAAUCCUUCCCCACCUCCCCUGGCUCCAGUAGCCCCGAGGUCCUUGCCCAGUGGCUCCAUAACCCCGGCACCACCACCAGGCAACCACUUCAUGUGCACUUCUCCGCAGGUCUGUGUCCAAGGGCUCCUUUUCUGUCCCUGUACUUGUCAUGGGAUUGGGGGUCCACUCAGAUAAUCCAGGAUGGCCUCAUGUUGAGAUCCUUAAUCACACCUGCACAACCCACUCCCCAGGUUAGGCCACCUUCACAGGCCACAGAACGUGGGCGUGACUUUGUGGCCGCCAUGCAAAGCCCGCUCAGGAUGUGGCUGUUAGGCACACACAGGCCUGGAGGGACCACACCACCCACUGCAGAUGGCGGGCAGUGAGGAUCUGAGGCUGAGCGGGGCCCUGGAGCCCAGCAGCAGGGUCCGCUUGGAGACAGACAGGCAGGCCAGCCCUGCAAAGACACCACGGGCAGGACACACCUGUAACUCCUGACCUGCAGGAUUUCAUAGGCGCUGGGAGGCCCUGAUGACUUCUUGGUGCUGUCUGUUCUUUCUGGUUCUUGAUGGGAGUUCCCUCCACCAGGAACGCCUGGGGGCCGCCCACCCCUGGCUGAUCCGUGUUAAGGGAGAAGGAGAGGAGGCAGGGAAGCUCAUUUAAUUUACAAAUGGUCGUUCCAGAGGGAACCACAUUCAGACUGGGUGACAAGGACCACGUGUCACACAUGCUCUGGAUUUGGCAAUGGCGCGUGGGCUGCCUCUUGAAGGAAGGGGUGAGUGUGACCUGUGGUGUGAGUCGUAGCCUGUAUGGGAUCUGGGCCACAUGGAAACACAGGCAUCAGCCGUUUCCAACUAGAUGUGGUCACGCAAGCCCUCCAGACCACUGCGCGGUGAGCAGGUACGACCCAACGCUGUCUACACGGUUUGUCUACACGGUGUCCUGAACUCAGCCUGCUGGGCUUUUCUCCCUUGUCACUGGCUGGGGUGCUCAGAAAGGCCUUAAAGGACACAUUCCAGAGACAAGACUCGGUCAGCCGAGGUCUCUGAAUGUCUUUGCGAGACAGAUACUUCUGAGCUGCUCAAGGCUGUAAGGUGAUGGGUAAGGCUCAUCACCAGUUCUUACAAAAGUGAGCAAUAAAGUGCUUUAUCCUUUCAGUCUCAUCAUUCUGAGGCCUCUUACUAUGGGAACCAUACCUUCCACCCUGACUAAUACUCAUCACGAGAAAGUUGUGUUCACACAGACUAAAAUCACUUUUCAUUUUUCAUCAAUUACUAUUCCAAGACGAGGCAUCAGGCCUUGUGGCAGGAAAGCCAAGCAGACAGAGCCCUGUGGUUAUCAGAGCAGGUUCUGCUUCCUCGGUGCAGCAUGGUGUUCUGACCCUGGGAUUAUGCUGCUCCUCCUUCUGAAGAGGACAUUCAGUAGAUAGGGGUCCACAGAGCUGCACAAAGAGUCACUGCCUCUGUCUCUUCAUACUGACACCCACAAUGUGUCCAUCUCAUUAACAGCCCUGGGGAUGCCCCACCCAUGACCUCAUGGCCCAGGGUGUGAGAAAACGAUGCUAAAUGAGUCCAAGACUGUGUGAUGCCUCUAGAAAAUGAGUGUCUAUAUUAGUUUGACCUUCAUUCUCUCAAGAAAUGUCCUGUUUGAACUAGAGUAGAGACAAAUAUGGGAUUGAAAAUGGAUCAGUAAAAAUAUAGCUCCACUGGCACUAAAAACAAAAAACUUGUUUUUAGUACAUUUGCCAGAUUCAUUAUUUUGGCACACGCUUCAUUAUUUUAUCCCUCACAUCCAUCUUGGUGACUGAGGUUUACUGAACAUUUAUUUCAUCCAAUUUUGUAACAGUUUUGCAACAUGUAUAUAUGAUUUUUUUUCUCUCAUCCACUGGCCCAAUGAAUUUCUGUUCUCUUCUUCCAAAUAACCCAGAAUUCUUCAUUAAAUAUUUUAACAUUAUCAGAAUUCCCUGUUCCCUUUUCACACAUAUGCACACAUAUGCACACACACAUUUUAGGCUGAUUCAUAAUUUAGGAUAAUUUGUAAUCCUCCCAGAGGCUCCAGUGACUCACCUAGCACUGAAAACUAAAUUAAAAAACAUGAAAUUAUUCCCUCCUCGGUUAUCAUGAAUUUCACCAAGAUGAGAAGACUUCUUAGAAUAUUUUUACAAGUGGAGAUAAAUGAAGUAUCUGAACCACUUAUGAAUAAACUAUAAACAUGAUCCCUAGAAAUACGUGACUUGAAGCACUGGCUGCACCACUUGUCAGCUCUCCGUUUGUCUAAGUCACCUACACUCUCCUUAGUGAAACCCUCCACUCCCAAACCAGGUGCACAAUUGUUUCUCACUUCCCUCGCAUGUGAAUGUCAAAGACAGCUGAGUAAGUGACCUGUCAUAGUGUGACAGGUGGUGGCUACUGGCAACGGCAGUUGGAGCCACAAUGACCAUAGCAGUCACAGGAGCAGUCGUGGAUUUGUUCAUUCUCAAGUCCAGAUGAGCACCGAGGAGAGACCAGCCUGGUGGUCAAUAAGGACAUGAUGCUGAAUAGAGCUCCCCAAGGGGAAGGAAGCAGGUAAGGAGCAGGGGAGGGUGAUGAGAGGCUGAACCUGGACAUUUCCCACGUCCACCAGGAAAGCAGAGGAAGAGGACCCAGCCUCAGAAAAGCUGAGAAGAAGACGGGGUGGGGGCUCAGAGGAAAGGAAUCGUGAACCUGCCAAAGCAUCAGUAACUGGAACACUGCAGAAGUGUGAUAAGGACUGAAAAACUGAGUGUCUUCCAAGUAGUGAGGGUGAAACCCAGAUGAUGACGAGCUUAAAAAAGACCUAAAAUGAAGGCAUUAAAAAUAAGAGCUCUCGAGAUGUUUUAGGGUAAAAGGAAAGAGGACACAAGAAAAGUCAGGACUGGGAGGUGUAGAGACGAGCUUUUUCAUGAAUAAAGUUUUACUGAAACCCAUGCCUAUUUGUUCACGCCUGUGGACGGGUCCUCCUGACUGUCUUGGGGGGGCUGGGAGUGGGCAGAGCUGCGACAUGGUGACAAAGACCACCUGACCCACAAAGCCUAAACCACUAACCACCUGGCUUCUUACAGACCUUUGCUCCCAGUGGUCCUGGAAAUACUGCCUUUGGAACUCAUGCUGGAAACAUGCUCUUCCUUGAUUGUAUAUAUUUUAAGAUCAAAUAUUUGUGCAGAUUUGUCACCUUAUUUAUGUAGAUAUUACCUCCCCCUUCUUGAUUCACUGGCUUCUAAAUCUGUAAAGCACACACUCUGCAUCCUGACAACUUGCUUUUAGUGUCUCACAAAACAGAAACAACAGCAACCAAUGUCAUUCCCUCGACUAUAUAAAACUCAAUGAAAUUUGAAAAUGAAAGAAUUUUCAUCAAAACAUACUUAAAAAAACAACCUCACAAAAGUAAAAUGGCUUCCCUUAUUUCAUACCAUUUGAAGUUUCUUUUUAGAGUAAAUGAAUGAGUUGAAUUCGUGUGCAAGGAGUCACAAUGGUAAGUAUAUUUAAUUGUUUCUAUAUUAUUUUUACUAUUAUGAAUCAUUCAAUAAAUUAUCAUUCAAACAAGUAUGGAAUUAUUUUAAAGCAUUUUUCGCAUAGAUGUGUUUAGCGUGAUGAGCACAGAUCCUGACAAACUUGGUUCCGUAAACACCAUCUUGGUGCGUCCUGGUUUCUAUGGCACCCAAUAAAAACACAGGUCAAAUUCCACUU
RNAcentral lists this long non-coding RNA (4916 nucleotides) under Sus scrofa (pig). RNAcentral describes it as "lncRNA (ENSSSCG00040027002.1)". The record is from RNAcentral. Lineage: Eukaryota; Metazoa; Chordata; Mammalia; Artiodactyla; Suidae.